UUUAUAGUUAUAUGUUAGAAUGGAAUCAUCUAAAUAAUUGUAGUUGUUAGCUGUCGACCUUCGUGGUCGUGGCUGCGGCGCGUUUCUGUAAUUAAGUUUUACGUCACUCAUAGACCGAACUCCCUGCGAUAGCCUCUACCAUAUAAAAAUUCGCUAUGUCACUUAACGAAACCUAGAGUUGCUGGAACUUCGUUAUUCGGUAUCGGAGAGAAUGAUAAAACAAAAUAAUUGAUAUAAUGAUAGAUCACUAAAAUUGCUAUCAGUGAUAGUCAUUCUGUGGGAAAGGAUAAUAAAAGACGUGCGAUUUCCACAGUGGGUGCGCAAAUACGUUACAAAUGAACAUUCAUCAUGGAGGGCGAUAAUUCAAAACAUGACUAAAUGUUUGUUUGUUUGGAGACACAUGCGGCCUUGGGCCUGUGCGUAUUGGGACGUCCGCUGCACGUGUUGGAGGCGCUUGUCAUAGUUUGACGACAAAAAGUUUUCCGGUGCUAAACUAAACAGUGUAACGUUCACUGCUGUUCUGAUCAUUAACGUUUUGAAUAUUAACAACAAAAUGACGAAAUGAAAAAAGGAGAGUUCAGUAAAAUAGCAAGAUAACAUUAGAAAUAUCUCCAUAGAUUUCCGCCUCAGAAAAAUAAUGGUUCUUUCAUUUCGUGAGUUUACUGCUAAAGCCUUUUUUGAUACUUCUGGUUCAAAACAAUCUAGUUAUUAUCGGUUGAUUUUAUAAAACUGAUCACAAACAUUUUAGGCUCAUAAUAAACUAAAAUGUUAUUUUGAGUUAUCAAACAUUUGCCUUGUAAAUAUUUACCCCAGCACAGUGAGUCCUUAUGGAUCAUGUUUACUAACGGCUAUGACUAACCAUAUUACAAAAAAAAGCUCAAGUAUCAACUACGUAAUUUACACUAUACAAGUAUACAUGUAGCGAUAAAUAAAGCUAGAGUAACGUCGCAGUUCGUAAGGGUUUGGCUCAGAAAAAUAAAUAAGAUAAUAACGAGAUAUUAGAUUACAUCUGGACCACAUACUGCGAAGCUCGGUAACGAAUAAUCGUGAUCGACAUAGAUGAACAAAUAAACCUUGUAACACGAUUCAAAGAAAGUAAACAGUCUGCCAGAUAAUUGAACUUAAUUAGUAAUCAUAAUUCAUGCAGAAUGGAUACGACAUAGAACUAUGGAAUCAAUAAAGAUUAUGAAUGAUACUAUCCUCAAUUAAAAAACUUUGAGUGAGUUCCUACAUUGAUUUUAUAUAUUUGAUUGCUGUUUGCACUACACGGCAACGUCGCUUUUCAACUAUCAAGGAUUCAAUUUCAUUAAAUUGAACCUGAGCUUUCUGCUCUCAGUAAAAAAUGUUGUCAUAUUUUCCAGUCUGUACUACGACACUGAUUUCGUGAUUCUUUUUACAUACAUCUUAAUCAUCAAAGGCAAAAUGUAAAUAAUAGAAUUAACAAAAUGUGUUUAAUCUAUUAUGUAUUAAGACGAUAAUAAGUAGGCUCAAUAAAACCUUGUGAAUCCAAAAACGAGCGUUGGAUGGAACGAGGCAAACAAUCAAUGUACCUAAGUACAUCAUUAAAUGCGUAGGCGUUUAAUAAAAUUCACUUUCGAUUGGAAAGAAAUCGGCCAGGCGUGAAUACAUCCAUAUCCAUUUACGCUCAGUUUGGGGUGUUGGGCUAGGGAGGCUUUUAUAUCAUACAACUACAUUACCCGAACCUGUCAAUCAAGCCGUAUCCUUGACGACCCCGGGUCCAUGUAAUUGAUAGCCUCUCGUGAGAAGAGAAGAUUCCUUCGUAAAUUAAUAUACCAAAGCGUAUUUAUACUUAGAUAUGCGUGUUGAACAAUGAACAAAUCAAUACUUUAACUAGACGAAGGAAACACGCCAUCGAUAAUACGACAAAGGCUUUAGUACGCCACAACGCCGGCUUCAGGCGCGAAAUGAAUGAAUUCAGUCGUUUAUAUAGUGUGGAGAUUGAUGGGCCUCACAAAGGGAAUCGCCUCAACAAUGACGAAGCAGAUACGAACACUACUGGUAAUAAACAUGACAAAGGAAAUAUUACAUAAUAUUGUUUCCCAACUACAUUUUUUUGAUACUACGAUUAGUAGUAAUAAAUACUUUUUGCUCGAAUAUGGCUACUUGAUCAACUGAUUUAAAUUACUUAUGUUGAUUAUAUAGGCAUAUCCUGCCGUAUGGUUUUCGGUAGAUCUUUGGUGGAAAGUAAAUCUGGGGGAAGAACCUGUUACUAUAUAUAUACAACGAAGUAAAAAAAAAUGAGUUAUGUAUCUGAAAUUGGAAGGCCACUUCUAAACCAGUGCACAAGGAAUAACUGACAGAAUAUGGUCAAUGGUGUACGAUAAGAUAUCUGAUUAUAGGAACAUACAAAAGUUUAAUAAUCUAAUUUCCCACUUAUGAAAGCAUCCACAAACGUUUUCUUUAAGAAGCAAGUGAAUAAGAACUCAAAAAAAAAUGUAGGGUUUUUCAUAUAAAAUAUUCUAAAGAUCCUAAAGUUCUCAUAAAAAAAAUCUGAUGGUUAUCACUUUGGAAAUUUCCAUAUUUCAUAUGGAGUAAUCAGUUUAAUAAGCAAAAUAUGCGAAGAAAUUUUAAGUAGCACCAGUCAUGAAAUGUUGUAAACCAGAUUAAAAAGAUGCAAAAACUCGAUAAGUAAGAAUUACGCAGCGCUCAGUGAGCGUAGAGCAGUUUGUCGCGUUAUCAAGGAAUGUUUCCACUUUCAUACACUUUCUUUGGUCUGCAUGACGUGCGUGCAUAUGUGCAUGUGGAGUGUAUAGAGAUGGAAAUCCGUCUACUACUGUCGCCCCCCCUCUGGCGAGGCGCUAUCGAUCUGCACCGACCUUGACUUGACGCGCGCUCGCCUGCCACAAUUAACAUUGACAAUAGCGACGCACGCGCAACACCUUAUCAAAUACAUACUUUCCUCUUCGUGUAUUUUUAUAACGUAUGUUUUUACAUCAUUUGUUUAUGAAAUAAAAUUCUACGCCGGAUUGAUGUAUGCUAAUACCGAAGUCAUAAAAAUGCAGUUUUAAGAGAAAAAGGAAGAACUCUUCAAAGCGGCUCUUAAUAGAGAAAUGCGGACGUCAAUUGGUCAUUAACUUUACGAGAGACAAGUACUAUAAAAGCAAAGUCAAAUGGCCGUCCUAGAACUGACCCGUAGAACGGCAGGCGAGAGGCGUGCGGGUAGCGGAGCGGGUGUACGGUGAGUCAAAGGCGCGGGGGCGGUGCGACGCGUGCAUUCGCCGCGAGAUAUGGGUAAACGGAACGCAGAGAGAAGCGCGCCGCGGGGGCCUGCGACCUUGGCGAUUCGCUGACGACUACAGGUGUUUUUUGUUCGUGCACAAGAUCUGAGCGAUGCUUGCUCUGCUGGCCAGUCUGCGCUGGGCGAGACGGUGGACGCGCGGCGCGGGGAGCACAACCGGAACUCCAACUACAAAACAAUGCUCAUUCUCAAUACCGAGAUGCGUUAUUGUGGGACUUCGAGAAAGCAAUUGAAGAAUGGUGUAAACACAGUAAUUUUCUAGAGAGGGAAUUUGCAACGACUUAUUGUUAAAUUGUUAAAAAAAAUACUUGAAGAUAUAAACCUCGACAAUAAACAAAACAUUUAUUUUCCGACUUUGAACCUGUUGUGAAAUAAUGCCCUAUGCCUCGAAGAGACAAUGAAGAAGAAAGGAAUGAAUGAUGUAGGCCAACAAAAUUCUAACGAACACGUGAAUAGUACGUUGUUGUCAUAUGGCUAAAUAAAAAAUAAUGAGAA
Molecule: long non-coding RNA, 3754 nt
Organism: Trichoplusia ni (cabbage looper)
Lineage: Eukaryota; Metazoa; Arthropoda; Insecta; Lepidoptera; Noctuidae
Exons: 2
Source: RefSeq, a predicted model, not a curated record